AGACGGGGGCCCGCACAAGCAGCGGAGCGUGUGGUUUAAUUCGAUGCAACGCGAAGAACCUUACCAGGGUUUGACAUGCUUAAAGUAGAAACUCGAAAGAGGGACGACCUGUAUCCAGUCAGGAGUUUGCACAGGUGCUGCAUGGCUGUCGUCAGCUCGUGCCGUGAGGUGUUAGGUUAAGUCCUGCAACGAGCGCAACCCUCGUCGCUAGUUGUUUUCUCUAGCGAUACUGCCCGUAUAACGUGGAGGAAGGUGGGGAUGACGUCAAGUCAGCAUGGCCCUUACAUCCUGGGCUACACACACGCUACAAUGGGUGAUACAACAGGUUGCAAUAGAGUAAUCUGGAGCUAAUCCCUAAAAUCAUCCUCAGUACGGAUUGCAGGCUGAAACUGCCUGCAUGAAGUUGGAGUUGCUAGUAAACGCAGGUCAGCACACUGCGUUGAAUACGUACUCGGGCCUU
RNAcentral lists this ribosomal RNA (460 nucleotides) under uncultured Chloroflexota bacterium. RNAcentral describes it as "bacterial SSU rRNA". It matches the Rfam family "Bacterial small subunit ribosomal RNA", at positions 912 to 1382 of the family's 1533-position model. Lineage: Bacteria; Bacillati; Chloroflexota. The record is from RNAcentral.